This 73-nucleotide transfer RNA is filed under the name Pseudomonadota bacterium. RNAcentral's name for it is "tRNA-Arg". It matches the Rfam family "tRNA". From Rfam's summary of the family: Transfer RNA (tRNA) molecules are approximately 80 nucleotides in length. Their secondary structure includes four short double-helical elements and three loops (D, anti-codon, and T loops). The record is from RNAcentral. RNAcentral also lists the same sequence under 2 other names. Lineage: Bacteria; Pseudomonadati; Pseudomonadota.
GCCCCCGUAGCUCAAGAGGAAGAGCAGCGGCCUUCUAAGCCGCUGGCUGUGGGUUCAAGUCCCACCGGGGGUG